UCCGAUGUGCAGACCGGGGUAUGCAAUCUUUCUCAUGUACAGAUUGAUCUUUUCCUUCGUGUGCUGGGUGGAUGUGUUCUGUUUUGUUCGUUUCCGGCUGGUAAACCCGGCAUGGAUGCCUGAAAUGACAUGUAAAUUUUACUCCUUGCCGCGUUCAGUUUUGUCUGAAGUGAAACUUAGAAAUAUCGCACAAAGUGUUGCAUGACACUUGGGCAAAUAUAUACGCGAUGAUUGAUUAAAUCGAAUUGUUGAAUGGAUUCAAACAAAUGGCAAGCGAUGAUACAAGUGUUAAUCCCUCUCUCAGGGGGAAGAACAUCAGCGGCAUGCAUCAAUUCGUUAAAUUAAGGAGAAAGAGGGAACAAAGAAAAAGAGGACAAAAGGUGUGUCGAAUCAAAAACAUGCCCACGCAUCGGAAUGCGCGCAGCCAUGUCACUCUCUCUCCCGCUUCGUCUCUUCCUCGGCCUCCGGGCGACCGGCCGCGGCCGGCUCACUGAAUGUAGUAGGCGAAGAAGGAGGCGACGGCGGCCCCGAGGGCGGCGCCGACGGCGGGCGCGACGGCGGAGGAGCCGCUGGUGGGGCCCGGAGCCGGAGCCUCCGCGGCGAGCGCCACGGUGGCCGCCGAGGCGGCGACGAGGACGGCGCAGGCGAUCUUCUUCAUCUCCAUCCCUGA
This 670-nucleotide long non-coding RNA is filed under the name Zea mays. RNAcentral describes it as "long non-coding RNA (ZMAY_LNC003467)". Lineage: Eukaryota; Viridiplantae; Streptophyta; Magnoliopsida; Poales; Poaceae. The record is from RNAcentral.